RNAcentral lists this ribosomal RNA (356 nucleotides) under uncultured bacterium. RNAcentral's name for it is "bacterial SSU rRNA". It matches the Rfam family "Bacterial small subunit ribosomal RNA", at positions 9 to 353 of the family's 1533-position model. The record is from RNAcentral.
GAGUUUUGAUCCUGGCUCAGGAUGAACGCUAGCUACAGGCUUAACACAUGCAAGUCGAGGGGCAGCAUGAACUUAGCUUGCUAAGUUUUGAUGGCGACCGGCGCACGGGUGAGUAACACGUAUCCAACCUGCCGAUGACUCGGGGGAUAGCCUUUUCGAAAGAAAGAUUAAUACCCGAUGGCAUAGUUCUUCCGCAUGGUGGAACUAUUAAAGAAUUUCGGUCAUCGAUGGGGAUGCGUUCCAUUAGGUUGUUGGCGGGGUAACGGCCCACCAAGCCUUCGAUGGAUAGGGGUUCUGAGAGGAAGGUCCCCCACAUUGGAACUGAGACACGGUCCAAACUCCUACGGGAGGCAGCA